GGGGAAUCUUCCGCAAUGGACGAAAGUCUGACGGAGCAACGCCGCGUGAGUGAUGACGGCCUUCGGGUUGUAAAGCUCUGUUAAUCGGGACGAAAGGUCUUCUUGCGAAUAGUUAGAAGAAUUGACGGUACCGGAAUAGAAAGCCACGGCUAACUACGUGCCAGCAGCCGCGGUAAUACGUAGGUGGCAAGCGUUGUCCGGAAUUAUUGGGCGUAAAGCGCGCGCAGGCGGAUUGGUCAGUCUGUCUUAAAAGUUCGGGGCUUAACCCCGUGAUGGGAUGGAAACUGCCAAUCUAGAGUAUCGGAGAGGAAAGUGGAAUUCCUAGUGUAGCGGUGAAAUGCGUAGAUAUUAGGAAGAACACCAGUGGCGAAGGCAACUUUCUGGACGAAAACUGACGCUGAGGCGCGAAAGCCAGGGGAGCGAACGGGAUUAGAUACCCCGGUAGUCCUGGCCGUAAACGAUGGGUACUAGGUGUAGGAGGUAUCGACCCCUUCUGUGCCGGAGUUAACGCAAUAAGUACCCCGCCUGGGGAGUACGACCGCAAGGUUG
RNAcentral lists this ribosomal RNA (549 nucleotides) under uncultured bacterium. RNAcentral's name for it is "bacterial SSU rRNA". It matches the Rfam family "Bacterial small subunit ribosomal RNA", at positions 356 to 896 of the family's 1533-position model. The record is from RNAcentral.